Non-coding RNA from Sturnus vulgaris (Common starling), 1592 nucleotides. The record is from RefSeq and is a predicted model, not a curated record. Lineage: Eukaryota; Metazoa; Chordata; Aves; Passeriformes; Sturnidae.
ACCUCAGAGCAGUCAAUUACCAAAGCUACCCGGGAUCAUCAAUCAUGGGGGAUGCUUGAAGUUUAGGGGAGGAGCGAUGGUCAAACUAUCGAUUGCUGCAGUUUUGUCCUCCCCAACCCCCCACCCUCGUUCACGGUCCCCUGCACAUAAAAUCUAAAACAGACUAUCCCGUUAAUAGUGGAAUUUAUCAAUGAUUAUGUACCCAGUUGUGAAUGUGGCCUCAUACAUAGAUGGCUUUUGAAAAUACACGGCAGAAAAUAUAUGAUUCCGUUAUAUUUUGGUUUGGUUUGCUUUUCGUGCUGAUGAUGUUGCUUUUCAGAGGUUUGGGUUUUUUUUUAACUUUAAGAAAAUGACUCAAGGGGUAGUUAUAGAUAUUUGGCCUGAUUUUAAUAGGCGAAGGGAAUGAGCUCCAGAGGUCAAUAAACCCCUCCAAAAUGAUGAAUGAUUGAGUACCUGUGAUGAUGAUAGUGAUUACCGGAGCAAUUAAACAGUUUGAUUAAAUGAGCCAUCAUAACAAUGAUGUCUGCGGGAAAUCAGCCCUCACGUAUAAAGAAAGAUAGUGUGGAGAGCUGACAAACGCCAGUGGGCAUUCCUGCAUGUUCCGCUAGCGCCGAGCCCUGCAGAGCAGGACUGUAUUUACAAAUAUGAGGGGAAUACGGAGAAAAGUCCCUCUCCUACUUUUAGCCAGAGUUGCACCCUGCUUUAAACCCGCCAGAAGCCGGAGAGCAGACACGGGUUUGUUUUUUUUCCUAGAGGAUCUCCUCCAAGAUUAAAGCUAGUCCUAAGUGCAACCGAAUUGCUGUGACUGACUUUCACGGGACUGUAAAGAGAGAACUGCUCGGCCCAUUGUUUGAAGUCGGAUUCAGUGCACAGCCCAAAGAGAAAAGGAAAAAAAAUCUUGAGAGCCCGGUUUGGUAUUGCACAGAGAGAGAGCUGACAAAAUAUUACAGCGUGUUUCCUAGAAGUACAUGGUGAGAGCCGGCGGUGUGUUCCCGAAAAGAGGUUGCUUUUUAUUUCCACCACCCUCCCCCCCCCAAGAUUGUGAUCGUCUUUGUAUGUCUUUCUUUUGAUCCCACAAAGAGAAUGCAAUACACAUAUAUGUGUUUGCUCUCCAUAUAAGAAAUGCCAUACAAUGGAAUAUGCGGCUGGUUAGUCCUCAUAAUGCUUAGUUUUGCUGUAAUUAAUUGAAAACAGUUAUUAGGUCGUCAUUGGCAAUAGCGUAAAUAAUUGCGCAGAUUUUUACUUAAAAUUGACCGGUCAUAGAGUGAUAGAUCGAUUCGAGGUAUAAAAAUGAUGUAUCAAAACAUCAAUGUCGAUUAUUUGAAAUAUUGUAGUCGAAUCUUUUUAUUGCUUCAUCGGUUAAGUGUCUGAAAGUGCUGUGUUCCAACAUAUAUUUAUGUUGUCAAUACUGUCAAAACUGUCAGUUUUAUUACAGUGGAUUUGUAAUACAUUUCGGAUUUGCUCAUUUACAUAAAAUGUCCACCUCAGAUACCCCUCCUUUUCUCCAUCUCUGGAAAUCUGUGUCAGUUUAAUGAAAGGAUUCAAGAUCCAUACCUGAAGAGGGAAAAGGGAAAAAAAAAAAAAAAAAAAGG